This is a long non-coding RNA of Gavialis gangeticus (Gharial), 116 nucleotides long. RefSeq lists it as uncharacterized. The transcript is spliced from 3 exons. The record is from RefSeq and is a predicted model, not a curated record. Lineage: Eukaryota; Metazoa; Chordata; Crocodylia; Gavialidae.
AGGCCGAGGUGGGGAGGGGGAGUUCGUGCGAGUCAAACAGGCCGCGUCCUGUGCCAGGGCUCCCCAAGAACACGGAGCUGAGAGGUAACACCCUCGAUCCCAUGUGAGGCUUGGAC